RNAcentral lists this ribosomal RNA (634 nucleotides) under Acinetobacter baumannii. RNAcentral describes it as "bacterial SSU rRNA". It matches the Rfam family "Bacterial small subunit ribosomal RNA", at positions 90 to 721 of the family's 1533-position model. The record is from RNAcentral. Lineage: Bacteria; Pseudomonadati; Pseudomonadota; Gammaproteobacteria; Moraxellales; Moraxellaceae.
ACCUAGCGGCGACGGAUGAUGAUGCUUAUGAGUCUGCCUAUUAGUGGGGGACAGCUUCUCAAAGGGGAUGCUAGUACCGCAUACGUCCUACCGCAGAAAGCAGGGGAUCUUCGGACCUUGCGCUAGUAAAUGAACCUAAGUCGGAUUAACUAGUUGGUGGGGUAAAGGCCUACCCAGGCGACCAUCUGUCCCUGGUCUGAUAGGAUGAUCCGCCACACUGGGACUGAGACACAGCCCAUACUCCUACAGGAGGCAGGAAUGGGGAAUAUUGGACGAUGGGAGGAACCCUGAUCCAUCCAUGCCUCGUGUGUGAGUAAGGCCUUAUGGUUGUAUGGCACUUUAAUUCAGGAGGAGGCUACGCUAGUUAGUACCUAAGGAUAGUGGACGUUACUCGCAAAAUAAGAACCGGCUAACUCUGUGCUGCCAGCCGCGGUAAUACAUAGGGUGCAAGCGUUAAUCGGAUUUACUGGGCGUAAAGCGUGCGUAGGCGCCUUAUUAAUUCUCAUGUGAAAUCCCCCAGCUCACCUUGUGAAUUGCGUUCUAUACUGUGGAGCUCUAGUAUGGUAGAGGAUGGUAGAAUUCUACGUGUAUCGGUGAAAUGCGUAUAGAUCUGGAGGAGUACAGAUGUCGAAGG